AUUGAACGCUGGCGGCAUGCCUUACACAUGCAAGUCGAACGGCAGCGCGGGAGCAACCCUGGCGGCGAGUGGCGAACGGGUGAGUAAUAUAUCGGAACGUGCCCAGUAGUGGGGGAUAGCACGGCGUAAGCCGGAUUAAUACCGCAUACGACCUACGGGUGAAAGGGCGGGAUCGCAAGACCUCUCGCUAUUGUAGCGGCCGAUCUCAGAUCAGGUAAUUGGUGGGGUAAAGGCCCAACAAGCCUGCGAUCUGUAGUUGGUCUGAGAGUACGACCAGCCACACUGGGACUGAGACACGGCCCAGGCGCCGACGGGAGGCAGCAGUGGGGAAGUUUGGACAAUGGGGGCAACCCUGAUCCAGCAAUGCCGCGUGCAGGAAGAAUGCCUUCGGGUUGUAAACUGCUUUUGUCAGGGAAGAAAUCUUCUGGGUUAAUACCUCGGGAGGAUGACGGUACCUGAAGAAUAAGCACCGGCUAACUACGUGCCAGCCGCCGCCGUAA
This 500-nucleotide ribosomal RNA is filed under the name uncultured bacterium. RNAcentral describes it as "partial 16S ribosomal RNA". It matches the Rfam family "Bacterial small subunit ribosomal RNA", at positions 30 to 523 of the family's 1533-position model. The record is from RNAcentral.